UACGUAGGGUGCGAGCGUUAAUCGGAAUUACUGGGCGUAAAGCGUGCGCAGGCGGCUUCGCAAGUCAGGCGUGAAAUCCCCGGGCUUAACCUGGGAAUGGCGUCUGAAACUACGGAGCUGGAGUGUGGCAGAGGGAGGUAGAAUUCCACGUGUAGCGGUGAAAUGCGUAGAUAUGUGGAGGAAUACCGAUGGCGAAGGCAGCCUCCUGGGCCAAACACUGACGCUCAUGCACGAAAGCGUGGGGAGCGAACAGG
RNAcentral lists this ribosomal RNA (254 nucleotides) under uncultured bacterium. Its description in RNAcentral is "partial 16S ribosomal RNA". It matches the Rfam family "Bacterial small subunit ribosomal RNA", at positions 524 to 776 of the family's 1533-position model. The record is from RNAcentral.